AACACCAGCAAACAGUCUCCUAGACGUAGGGCUACAUUGAUGGACCGGAUUGUAGGAUUUCUGCACUGAGUCCCUGCCCCUCUGCCUUUCCUGCCACCCCAAGUCCCUUCCCCUCCUGAAGCAGCAAUCUCUUCCAUCUCCCUCUCUGGUCUCUUCUCCCCACCCCUUUCCUCUGCACCUAACCCCCUCCCCUCCAUCUAACCCCACCUUCACUCUCCUCUCCGAGGGGGGAGGGCCAGGGGGUGGGGAAAGAAAACCCCCAAAUCCCCAGCCCUGGGCAGAGAUGUCGAAGAAACGAAAAGCCCUCGAGGGUGGAGGAGGUGGCGGAGAACCCCAGCUCCCAGAGGAGGAACCCACUGCCUGGUUUGGGGACAGCAGCGAGGAGCAAGUUCUCUAAGUUAGAAGAGCAACACAAGUCUCACUGGGCUAACCUCGAGGUAUCGGCAGGGCUGGCUCCUUCUGGAGGCUUCAGGGAAGCAUCCAUCUCCCCACUUCUCCAGCUUCUUGAGGCCGUCCGCAUUCCUGGGCUUGUGGUCCUGCUCCAUCUUCCAAGCCAGCAACAGCAGAUUGAGUUCCUCUCACUUAGCAUCACCCUGACCUCCUCCCCUGUAGGCAAGUCUUCCUCUUCCUCCCUCUGCUGUCUCCACCUUUGUGAUUACCUGGGGCCCACCAAGAUCAUCCAGGGUAGCCUCCCAUCUCUAGGUCCCUAAGUUAAUCAAUCACAUCUGCAAAGUCUCUUUUGCCAUGUGAGGUAACCUAGUCAUAGGUUCCAGAGAUUUGGAUAUGAACAUUUUUGUUGAGGCAUCAUUCUGCCCAACCACAAGCAUGUAUCUGGCACUCACCACGUGUGGUAGUUAGUUGGUGUGUACUUUCUCUACCUGUAAAUCCCUGGAUGGAGAACAUGAUUUUUUCUCUCUAUAUCUCUUUGCAUUUCAUCUGGUUCACUUAACCUGAGCCCCAGUGUCUUAGUCUGUACAGUGUGGCCAUAACAGAAUACCUGAGACAGGGUAUUUAUUUAAAAAAAAAUAAUAGGUGGGUUUAGGUCACAGUUCUGCAGUCUGGGCAGCUCAAGGCCAUGGCCCUUGGUUCUGGCAAGGCAAGGGCUUUUGUGGUGCUGCGUCAUAACAUGGCAGAGAAGGUCAAAGCGUAACUGGACACGAGCAAAGAGAAGACCGGAGGGGCCUCCUGGCUUUGUAACAAACCACUCUCAUGAGACUAUUCCAUUCCCUGGAGAACUAAUUCAGUCUCUCCAGAGUGAGACCUCAUGAGGGAUCUGCAUCAGUGAUUCCAACACCUCCCACUAGGCCCCACCUCCCAACACUACCACAUUGGGGACCAAAUUUCAUCAUGGGCUUGGCAGGGAAAAGCCGACCAUACCCACACCAUAGCACCAGCCUGGGACCCAAAUGCACCAAAAAAGGGAACGAGAAAGCGUAGAACUGAACCAUCCAGCAGUCAGAUACCAAAGAGAUCCAAAAAGUUAAACAAUCACGAAGAAAAUGCUGGGUUGAAGGACACACACUAUACUGAAUACAACAGAAGUGUUGAGAGGGUCAGACCUCAGGCAAAUUCAAGGCCAACAGCUGGCACCAAUGCAGGAAGAUGAAGCCUUGCAUAAACAUAAGCCCAAUCGUUAUUUAUCGUGUAAGGACUUGGUAAUUAGAAAAAAUGCAAAAAUGGUCCAAACCUCCUAGAUGUUGCUUUCUUGCAGGGUGAACUUUGGUAAACACUGGGGGAUGGAGGAGAGAGGAAUCUGCCUUCCAGGCUUGUCAAGUUUGUUCUUAAUCGUCCUGAGAACACAGGGUCUAAUGGAGCAUUUGUUGGUCGUCUGCAUGGCUGUGAUAUUUUACUUUAUCGUUUCCACCUACCACUUUUAUAAGUAUUUUUAUUCUCCAUAAAACAGGCUUUUAUGUAUCAUUUGGAAUACAGAGCAUUUACAAAUUAAUCACAUUAAAGACAUUAUCUGUUCUCUUAUGAUACACCUAUUUGAUAUGGUGUGAAGAUAAUUGUUAUAAUCUCUAUUAAUACUGGCAUUCAUUAAAUAUUAAAAUGUUCAAUUGUUUG
Molecule: small RNA, 2064 nt
Filed under: Pongo abelii (Sumatran orangutan)
Lineage: Eukaryota; Metazoa; Chordata; Mammalia; Primates; Hominidae
Description: processed transcript
Source: RNAcentral